AUACGGUCAUAUCCCGUUGAAACAUUGGUUCCAGUACGAUCACCCAAGUUAAGCCACGUUGAUCCUGUUCAGUACCUUGAUGGGUAACCUCUUGAGAAUACCAAGUAU
Molecule: non-coding RNA, 108 nt
Organism: Acanthosepion pharaonis
Lineage: Eukaryota; Metazoa; Mollusca; Cephalopoda; Sepiida; Sepiidae
Source: the annotation of a GenBank genome assembly